CGGAAGGGCUCCUGCGCAGGCGUUUGUAGCCACUUUUAAGUUUUAUCAGCUAGUUCAUGCUUGCGUUGAAAGAGUGGUCGUUUGCGCUGGGUCAUCACUGUGUAGUAUUGGGGAUACUUAGCUUUUAGAAGUUGCCUGCAUUCCUUGGCCCCUUCCUCACAUCAUUCCAACCAACUUCCAUCCUUACAAUCGAUUACUUUCCUGUAAUAGCUACAGUCAAAUGGGCAGCUGAAGAUGAUGAUGAUGAUGAUCUUGACACCGAGAAGCAGAAGACCAAUGAAGAUGACCAGACAGCAAAAAAGGAUAAGUUAAAAGAAGGUAAAAGAAGGCCACUCGUACUUGCUGUCUCAGUAUCUAAAGGUGGUCACCUUCCAGUAGAGAGGCCCACCCACUGCAGACCGUGCCACCGAAGGUGACAUGCACUUUCUGCCACCCAUCCAAAACCGUAACGUGAAUCUGCAACAGGAGAGGAAAGAAGAACCAAAACUUCCAAGGCCUUGCAUUUUUUCUUAAAAGCAUUUUUUUUUUUUUUUGGAGAUGGAGUCUCACUCUAUUGCCUGGAGUGCAGUGGCGUAAUUUCGGCUCACUGAAGCCUCUGCUUCCCGGGUUUAAGAAAUUCUCUGCCUCAGCCUCCCAAGUAGCUGGGAUUACAGGCACAUGCCACCACACCUGUCUAAUUUUUGUAUUUUUAGGAGAGACAGGGUUUCACCGUGUUGGCCAGGCUGGUCUUGAACUCCUGAC
This 741-nucleotide long non-coding RNA is filed under the name Homo sapiens (human). RNAcentral's name for it is "non-protein coding KCTD21-AS1:5". Lineage: Eukaryota; Metazoa; Chordata; Mammalia; Primates; Hominidae. The record is from RNAcentral.